Molecule: ribosomal RNA, 253 nt
Filed under: uncultured bacterium
Lineage: Bacteria
Description: partial 16S ribosomal RNA
Rfam family: Bacterial small subunit ribosomal RNA
Source: RNAcentral
UACGAAGGGGGCUAGCGUUGCUCGGAAUUACUGGGCGUAAAGGGCGCGUAGGCGGUUAUCUAAGUUUGUUGUGAAAUCCCGGGGCUCAACCUCGGAAUUGCCUUCAAAACUGGAUAUCUUGAGUUCGGGAGAGGUGAGUGGAACUCCGAGUGUAGAGGUGAAAUUCGUAGAUAUUCGGAAGAACACCAGUGGCGAAGGCGACUCACUGGCCCGAUACUGACGCUGAGGCGCGAAAGCGUGGGGAGCAAACAGG